This 71-nucleotide transfer RNA is filed under the name Myotis lucifugus (little brown bat). It matches the Rfam family "tRNA". From Rfam's summary of the family: Transfer RNA (tRNA) molecules are approximately 80 nucleotides in length. The record is from Rfam by way of RNAcentral. Lineage: Eukaryota; Metazoa; Chordata; Mammalia; Chiroptera; Vespertilionidae.
GCCAGCAUGGCUCAGUGGUUGAGCGUCGACCUAUGAACCUGAAGGUCAGGGUUCGAUUCACUGUCAGGGCA